AUCACCUGGAGAGCUUGUUAAAAUGCAGAUUCUGAUUCUCACCUGGGGCCUGAGAUUUUGCAUUUCUAGCAAGCUCUCAAGUGAUGGCUC
RNAcentral lists this microRNA precursor (90 nucleotides) under Equus asinus (donkey). RNAcentral's name for it is "mir-544 microRNA precursor family". It matches the Rfam family "mir-544 microRNA precursor family". RNAcentral also lists the same sequence under 1 other name. Lineage: Eukaryota; Metazoa; Chordata; Mammalia; Perissodactyla; Equidae. The record is from Rfam by way of RNAcentral.